UGCCAUAGGAAAGCUUCAGAGAGGAGGCAAAACCAGGGAUAGAAGGAACUUGGGAUACUUAGGAGUGACUUGGGAUUAGGAUUUCAUUGUUGUCCCCAAAUAUUUGAAAGACUGUCCUCAUGGAAGAGAAAUUGUUCUGCCUGGCCCCAGAGGGGAAAAAUUGAUAGAAAUUGAAGAGAAUUAGAUUUAGGCUUGAUGUAAGAAAAGAUUUUCCAAUAAUUACAGAUGUCUUCCCCCCACCCUGCCCCCACCACCCAAUAUAAAGGGAAUAAAUUGACUCAGUAAGUAAUGAGGUCCCCCAUCACUGGAACAAGGCUUGGUGACUGCUUGUCAGGGUUGUAGAUAACAUUCACAAUAGAGAUUGACCUCUUCCAACUCUGAGAUUAUAUUAUUCCCUAAUGAGGCCAUUCUACCACCUCCAAUGAUGACUCAUUCCAGUUCCCCUCUCCUUGGAUCAGGGGGUUCUCCUUGGUGUCCAAUAACUAUCUGUCCUGCUGCAACACAAAGCCAAAUGCCUAUUUCCAAAUUUUUAUAAAUCUGAGACUAGAAGGAAGGGAUUGGGAUGAUGGUUUUAUCAACUGAUAUCCACAAGAAUGAAUAAAGUGUCCAAGGCCUGCCUGGUAUGAGAUUUAACAGGCAAGGCAAAAUUCUUGAUUUCCUGGAACUGAUGGAGGAGAUGAGAGAUUCAAGGAGUCUUCGUGGUUUGCAGAGAAUGGAAAAAAACAUUCCUGGCAAAGAGUUAGGCUGAGAAGAUCUGAGAAGAAAGAACAAUGCCCAGAGGUACAACCACCUGGUUGCUCAUUUGAGGUACCUGUCCUGAAUGCAAGAGAAAUGCCUUACAGGACUUAAGACAAGGCACGAGUUGCUGUGGACCGUAGAUUUCAUAGCCUCCACCAAUCUUCAGUCCCUUGCAGUCUGUGGUCCUCCAGCAGCCCCAGACCAUCUCAACUCUGCUAGGACCAUUGUAGGUAAGUGUCUGAAGCCUGGCUCCUGAUCUUGGGAAAGCAAAUCCUAAACCAGCUGGGGUUUGAGUCUAGGUAAGAGAAGAACAAGGGAUGAAGGUUACGAUUAGAUCCCAGAAAGGCUAGGAAGGAAAAAGUGAGUAUUUUGUGCCCAUCCAUUUAGGGUUUGGCAGUCUAACAUACUACCUGAGAAAAUUCCCAGAAAGUUUCUCC
This 1175-nucleotide long non-coding RNA is filed under the name Phascolarctos cinereus (koala). RNAcentral's name for it is "lncRNA (ENSPCIG00000034272.1)". Lineage: Eukaryota; Metazoa; Chordata; Mammalia; Diprotodontia; Phascolarctidae. The record is from RNAcentral.